CCAGGGGCUGCGGAGCCGGUGGUGCCCGCGGCUGCUCAACUCACCGUCCCCGCAACGGGCUGCGCUUUCGGGAAGGGGCGAAUCCCGGGGCUCCCUUAACCCCAGCCCAGCGUCCGCUCCCUGCGGCGACUGCGCUCAGCUCCCGCGAUUUAAAGGAACAAGGCGCCUGCCCUGCUGCCGGUAGUUCUGACACACCAGCCGGGACCCUCCUGCUCCGCCCCCAGGGAGCCCCCGCCCCCGGUGCUCGGCGCUGGCGCCCCUUGGACACACGGGCCCAGGCUCCGGCUCACCCUUGUGACUGAGUUUCCUCCACACAGUCCCCCUCAACGCUCGGCAGGGCGGAGGGCGGGGCUGUGGGACUCAUUUCAUUCACCUUCCCUCCCCCCGGGCCCGGCUUUCCUGCUCUCCUCAGCCCUUGACUGCAAAGAGUAAAACUGCCUCUGAAGAGCCCCACACCCCUAAUGUGGGUCAGGUAGCACCAGGUUUCCUUUGGCCAGGGGUGGGCAAACUUUUUGGCCAGAGAUCCACGUCUAGUUGUUAUAACAGGCGGCAUAUGAAAGACCUCUUCAUGGAAAGAUGUAACAAGAGAAAAGUUUAGCUCUACAAACAAUUCUGCAGACAAAGACCUUGAUGUUUGCAGCCAUUUGACAUCAUUCAGCCAUCACUUCUUAUGACUCAGGGCCUGGGGAUGAUGAAAUGCUAAGACCCACUGCACAGAUUUCAAAGGCUGAGCAUCCAAGACCUUCUCAAGAAUUUGGAUUCAUAUAAUGACUGAAAAUCUGACAGCUGUUUGCCAGAAAUGAAUUAGUGGUUUCAGCCCAGUUCAUAUCAGAUAUGUGUCCAUGUCACAAGAAUCACCACCACAAUAGGCACUGAGGCCCA
Molecule: long non-coding RNA, 882 nt
Organism: Dermochelys coriacea (leatherback sea turtle)
Lineage: Eukaryota; Metazoa; Chordata; Testudines; Dermochelyidae
Exons: 3
Source: RefSeq, a predicted model, not a curated record